GUGCGCGUGGUGCGCGUGGUGCGCGGCAGUCUGGACUUCGAACUCGAAUGCCGACCCCGGUUCGACUACGGGCGCGCCCCCCA
RNAcentral lists this transfer RNA (83 nucleotides) under Streptomyces sp. INR7. Its description in RNAcentral is "tRNA-OTHER". Lineage: Bacteria; Bacillati; Actinomycetota; Actinomycetes; Kitasatosporales; Streptomycetaceae. The record is from RNAcentral.